CCUACGGGUGGCAGCAGUGAGGAAUAUUGGUCAAUGGACGAGAGUCUGAACCAGCCAAGUAGCGUGAAGGAUGACUGCCCUAUGGGUUGUAAACUUCUUUUAUAUGGGAAUAAAAUGUUCCACGUGUGGGAUUUUGUAUGUACCAUUUGAAUAAGGAUCGGCUAACUCCGUGCCAGCAGCCGCGGUAAUACGGAGGAUCCGAGCGUUAUCCGGAUUUAUUGGGUUUAAAGGGAGCGUAGGUGGAUUGUUAAGUCAGUUGUGAAAGUUUGCGGCUCAACCGUAAAAUUGCAGUUGAAACUGGCAGUCUUGAGUACAGUAGAGGUGGGCGGAAUUCGUGGUGUAGCGGUGAAAUGCCUAGAUAUCACGAAGAACUCCGAUUGCGAAGGCAGUUCACUGGACUGCAACUGACACUGAGGCUCGAAAGUGUGGGUAUCAAACAGGAUUAGAUACCCCAGUAGUC
This 460-nucleotide ribosomal RNA is filed under the name uncultured bacterium. Its description in RNAcentral is "partial 16S ribosomal RNA". It matches the Rfam family "Bacterial small subunit ribosomal RNA", at positions 338 to 795 of the family's 1533-position model. The record is from RNAcentral.